This 250-nucleotide ribosomal RNA is filed under the name uncultured bacterium. RNAcentral's name for it is "partial 16S ribosomal RNA". It matches the Rfam family "Bacterial small subunit ribosomal RNA", at positions 525 to 774 of the family's 1533-position model. The record is from RNAcentral.
ACGUAGGGGGCAAGCGUUGUCCGGAAUCAUUGGGCGUAAAGGGCGCGUAGGCGGAUAUUUAAGUCUGGUGUGAAAACCUAGGGCUCAACCCUGGGACUGCAUCGGAAACUGGGUAUCUUGAGGACAGGAGAGGAAAGUGGAAUUCCACGUGUAGCGGUGAAAUGCGUAGAUAUGUGGAGGAACACCAGUGGCGAAGGCGACUUUCUGGACUGUAACUGACGCUGAGGCGCGAAAGCGUGGGGAGCAAACA